RNAcentral lists this ribosomal RNA (515 nucleotides) under uncultured bacterium. RNAcentral's name for it is "partial 16S ribosomal RNA". It matches the Rfam family "Bacterial small subunit ribosomal RNA", at positions 28 to 523 of the family's 1533-position model. The record is from RNAcentral.
GAUGAACGCUGGCGGCGUGCCUAAUACAUGCAAGUCGAGCGAAUGGAUUAAGAGCUUGCUCUUAUGAAGUUAGCGGCGGACGGGUGAGUAACACGUGGGUAACCUGCCCAUAAAACUGGGAUAACUCCGGGAAACCGGGGCUAAUACCGGAUAACAUUUUGAACCGCAUGGUUCAAAAUUGAAAGGCGGCUUCGGCUGUCACUUAUGGAUGGACCCGCGUCGCAUUAGCUAGUUGGUGAGGUCACGGCUCACCAAGGCAACGAGGCGUAGCCGACCUGAGAGGGUGAUCGGCCACACUGGGACUGAGACACGGCCCAGACUCCUACGGGAGGCAGCAGUAGGGAAUCUUCCGCAAUGGACGAAAGUCUGACGGAGCAACGCCGCGUGAGUGAUGAAGGCUUUCGGGUCGUAAAACUCUGUUGUUAGGGAAGAACAAGUGCUAGUUGAAUAAGCUGGCACCUUGACGGUACCUAACCAGAAAGCCACGGCUAACUACGUGCCAGCAGCCGCGGUAA